This 942-nucleotide ribosomal RNA is filed under the name uncultured bacterium. RNAcentral describes it as "bacterial SSU rRNA". It matches the Rfam family "Bacterial small subunit ribosomal RNA", at positions 8 to 916 of the family's 1533-position model. The record is from RNAcentral.
AGAGUUUGAUCAUGGCUCAGGACGAACGCUGGCGGCGUGCCUAAUACAUGCAAGUCGAGCGCGGGAAGUAGGACUGAUUCCUUCGGGAUGACGACCUAUGGAACGAGCGGCGGAUGGGUGAGUAACACGUGGGUAAUCUGCCUGUAAGCCUGGGAUAACUUGCGGAAACGUGAGCUAAUACCGGAUGAAGCUCAUGAUCGCCUGAUCAUGAGACAAAAGGUGGCGCAAGCUACCACUUACAGAUGAGCCCGCGGCGCAUUAGCUAGUUGGUGGGGUAAUGGCCUACCAAGGCGACGAUGCGUAGCCGGCCUGAGAGGGUGAACGGCCACACUGGGACUGAGACACGGCCCAGACUCCUACGGGAGGCAGCAGUAGGGAAUCUUCCGCAAUGGACGCAAGUCUGACGGAGCGACGCCGCGUGAGCGAUGAAGGUCUUCGGAUCGUAAAGCUCUGUUGUUAGGGAAGAAUAAGUACCGUUCGAAUAGGGCGGUACCUUGACGGUACCUAACCAGAAAGCCCCGGCUAACUACGUGCCAGCAGCCGCGGUAAUACGUAGGGGGCAAGCGUUGUCCGGAAUUAUUGGGCGUAAAGCGCGCGUAGGCGGUCCUUUAAGUCUGAUGUGAAAUCUCUCGGCUUAACCGGGAGAGGUCAUUGGAAACUGGAGGACUUGAGUGCAGAAGAGGAGAGUGGAAUUCCACGUGGAGCGGUGAAAUGCGUAGAGAUGUGGAGGAACACCAGUGGCGAAGGCGGCUCUCUGGUCUGUAACUGACGCUGAGGUGCGAAAGCGUGGGUAGCGAACAGGAUUAGAUACCCUGGUAGUCCACGCCGUAAACGAUGAGUGCUAGGUGUCAGGGGUUUCCGCCCCUUGGUGCUGAAGUUAACGCAUUAAGCACUCCGCCUGGGGAGUACGGCCGCAAGGCUAAAACUCAAAGGAAUUGACGG